GGCGCGGGCAGGCCCCGCCCCGGGAGCCGUGAAGUGCGGCGCGCGGCGGCGGGCGCGGAUCCCGCGGAAGGAAACGGCAACAUGAAUUCGUAGAUGAUGAGUAGGAUGCCAAAGCCAGAGAUGACAGUGCUCUUGAAGAAAUGCUGGGUAGAACAAAAAGAUGAUCAUGGGAACAGCAAUGGCAGUCAUGUAAAAAUCUUUUUACCGAAGAAGCUGCUCGAAUGUCUACCAAAAUGUUCAAGUUUACCCAAGGAGAGGCACCGCUGGAACACUAAUGAGAGAUCUUGAUGCAGACGUCCUUUUGGAUUUCUUUUUAAUAAUGUGUGACCCUUCACCUUUGACCCCCUGACCUGCAUUACUUUGGUGUAUCUUUUCUGCUGUGAAGGUGUGCUGGUGGCUUUUCUCAAAUAAAAACGAUUUUGGUUGUUGUAAGAAGAAAUAAAGUUUGUGCUCCUCAUUGGCUUUUGCUUUUUAAGUUCAACGCUGUGCAUUUCCCUGUAUCCCAGCACAUCGCUUCUGCCUUGUGUUCUCCCAAGACUUUAUCUGAUUUAUGUUGUCAUUUCUGUACAUCGUUGCUUUGAACUUGCAUUUCUCUACGUUUCUUUUGGUCAGUAAUACAUACGUGAUGUUUGCUGUGGUUUUUCUCUUUGCUGGUCAGCUUUUGGUAGCUCACAGCAAUCACAGGGGAUUUAAGAUUCUCUUCUGAAUAAAAAAUAUUUGUCGUUGUUACAGUUCUGUUCCAUGUCCUGGAGAUGACUGUUCGUAAUGCUCAGCUGAAAACCAAUAGCUGUUCUAAUAAAGGCAUUU
This 807-nucleotide long non-coding RNA is filed under the name Gallus gallus (chicken). Its description in RNAcentral is "long non-coding RNA NONGGAT004839". The record is from RNAcentral. Lineage: Eukaryota; Metazoa; Chordata; Aves; Galliformes; Phasianidae.